RNAcentral lists this ribosomal RNA (677 nucleotides) under uncultured Nitrososphaerota archaeon. RNAcentral describes it as "bacterial SSU rRNA". It matches the Rfam family "Archaeal small subunit ribosomal RNA", at positions 78 to 758 of the family's 1478-position model. The record is from RNAcentral. Lineage: Archaea; Thermoproteati; Nitrososphaerota.
GUGGCAUACGGCUCAGUAACACGUAGUCAACAUGCCCAGGGGACGUGGAUAACCUCGGGAAACUGAGGAUAAACCGCGAUAGGUCACUACUUCUGGAAUGGGUAAUGACCCAAACCUAUAUGGCCCCUGGAUUGGACUGCGGCCGAUCAGGCUGUUGGUGAGGUAAUGGCCCACCAAACCUGUAACCGGUACGGGCUCUGAGAGGAGGAGCCCGGAGAUGGGCACUGAGACAAGGGCCCAGGCCCUAUGGGGCGCAGCAGGCGCGAAACCUCUGCAAUAGGCGAAAGCUUGACAGGGUUACUCUGAGUGAUUUCCGUUAAGGAGAUCUUUUGGCACCUCUAAAAAUGGUGCAGAAUAAGGGGUGGGCAAGUCUGGUGUCAGCCGCCGCGGUAAUACCAGCACCCCGAGUGGUCGGGACGUUUAUUGGGCCUAAAGCAUCCGUAGCCGGUUCUACAAGUCUUCCGUUAAAUCCACCUGCUCAACAGAUGGGCUGCGGAAGAUACUAUGGAGCUAGGAGGCGGGAGAGGCAAGCGGUACUCGAUGGGUAGGGGUAAAAUCCGUUGAUCCAUUGAAGACCACCAGUGGCGAAGGCGGCUUGCCAGAACGCGCUCGACGGUGAGGGAUGAAAGCUGGGGGAGCAAACCGGAUUAGAUACCCGGGUAGUCCCAGCUGUAAAC